UACGUAGGGGGCUAGCGUUGUCCGGAAUCAUUGGGCGUAAAGAGCGUGUAGGCGGCCCGGUAAGUCCGCUGUAAAAGUCAAAGGCUCAACCUUUGAAUGUCAGUGGAUACUGCCGGGCUAGAGUCCGGAAGAGGCGAGUGGAAUUCCUGGUGUAGCGGUGGAAUGCGCAGAUAUCAGGAGGAACACCAAUAGCGAAGGCAGCUCGCUGGGACGGUACUGACGCUAAGGGCGCGAAAGCGUGGGGAGCGAACAGG
Molecule: ribosomal RNA, 254 nt
Filed under: uncultured bacterium
Lineage: Bacteria
Description: partial 16S ribosomal RNA
Rfam family: Bacterial small subunit ribosomal RNA
Source: RNAcentral